RNAcentral lists this ribosomal RNA (379 nucleotides) under uncultured eukaryote. RNAcentral's name for it is "partial 18S ribosomal RNA". It matches the Rfam family "Eukaryotic small subunit ribosomal RNA", at positions 592 to 975 of the family's 1831-position model. The record is from RNAcentral.
CAAUAGCGUAUAUUAAAGUUGUUGCGGUUAAAAAGCUCGUAGUUGGAUUUCUGCUGAGAACGACCGGUCCGCCCUUUGGGUGUGUAUCUGGCUCUUUCUUGGCAUCUUCUUGGUGAACGUUGCUGCACUUGACUGUGUGGAGCGCUACCCAGGACUUUUACUUUGAGGAAAUUAGAGUGUUUCAAGCAGGCAUACGCCUUGAAUACAUUAGCAUGGAAUAAUAAGAUAGGACCUCGGUUCUAUUUUGUUGGUUUCUAGAGCUGAGGUAAUGAUUAAUAGGGAUAGUUGGGGGCAUUCGUAUUUAACUGUCAGAGGUGAAAUUCUUGGAUUUGUUAAAGACGGACUACUGCGAANGNAUUUGCNAAGGAUUUUUNCAUUG